RNAcentral lists this ribosomal RNA (393 nucleotides) under Streptococcus oralis. RNAcentral's name for it is "bacterial SSU rRNA". It matches the Rfam family "Bacterial small subunit ribosomal RNA", at positions 28 to 411 of the family's 1533-position model. Lineage: Bacteria; Bacillati; Bacillota; Bacilli; Lactobacillales; Streptococcaceae. The record is from RNAcentral.
GACGAACGCUGGCGGCGUGCCUAAUACAUGCAAGUAGAACGCUGAAGCUUGGUGCUUGCACCGAGCGGAUGAGUUGCGAACGGGUGAGUAACGCGUAGGUAACCUGCCUGGUAGCGGGGGAUAACUAUUGGAAACGAUAGCUAAUACCGCAUAACAGUAGAUGUCGCAUGACAUUUGCUUAAAAGGUGCAAUUGCAUCACUACCAGAUGGACCUGCGUUGUAUUAGCUAGUUGGUGAGGUAACGGCUCACCAAGGCGACGAUACAUAGCCGACCUGAGAGGGUGAUCGGCCACACUGGGACUGAGACACGGCCCAGACUCCUACGGGAGGCAGCAGUAGGGAAUCUUCGGCAAUGGACGGAAGUCUGACCGAGCAACGCCGCGUGAGUGAAGC